CAGAAAAAAUGUACGCUCCUGCAUGUGUUAUGUCAAUAUUUAUUGCUGCAGAAGCCCUACCUCCCCAACCCACGCCAGCACUCCCACCCCAACCGCCAGCCCCACAACCACAGCCGGCUCCUCAUCAACCAAGGCAACGGAGGCGUGCUAGGCCACCAAUUUUCCGAACCCGUGUCCUACUUUUUGGUAUGCCAGAUGAUGUGGUGGUGCGUAGAUACAGGCUGCCACCACAUCUAAUCCUAGACACUCUCUCCAUAAUAGAGAGUGAUCUGGAGUCUGAAAUUCGGUAUCCUACAGCAAUACCACCAUUGACACAAUUCCUUGCAGUGUUACAUUUUUUGGCUACAGCCUCAUAUCAGCAUGUUGUGGGAGACCUGGUUGGCAUGUCGCAGGGCCAGUUCAGUAAGGUCCUGCGGCGUGUCUGCCAGGCUUUCCUAAAGCGGGUGAAGCAAUUCAUUGAUAUGCCUUUGGAUGUUGGUGCCCUAGAUGUGGUGAAGCGGCAAUUUGAGGAAGGUGGUAGUCGCUUCCCACAUGUUAUUGGGGUUGUGGAUGGCACACAUGUUGCUAUUCAGCCACCAAGACAUAAUGAAGAAAUUUAUAGAAACAGGAAACUGUUUCAUUCUCUGAAUGUAAUGGUUGUUUGUGGGCCAUCCCUCCAGAUCCUUUCCCUGAAUGCAAAAUUUACUGGAAGUUCACAUGAUGCAUAUGUCAUUAGACAAUCAGGGAUAUGGCAGAGAUUAAGAUCAAGUCAACGAGCAGACAUGUGGUUAUUGGGAGACCGUGGAUAUCCUUGCACCCCCUGGCUCAUGACUCCUUACCGUAAUCCCAGGCCAGGACCACAGAUGGCAUUUAACUCCGCGCUUACUGCCACUAGGCAGCUGGUGGAGCGCACAAUUGGUGUCCUUAAAGGGCGGUUUCGUGUGCUCCACCGCACUGGUGGCGACAUCAUGUAUUCGCCGGAGAUGGCAAGUAAAAUAGUGGUCCUGUGCGCAAUACUACAUAAUAUCGCGGUAAGGAGUAGUGUAGAGCUUCCUCAGGCAGAGGAAUUGCCUGAUGAGGAGCCAGGGGUUGUUCGACAUUUCGGUGGGGGGAGUGUUACACGGAGGGGGAGCCAAGU
This is a long non-coding RNA of Pseudophryne corroboree (corroboree frog), 1117 nucleotides long. RefSeq lists it as uncharacterized. The record is from RefSeq and is a predicted model, not a curated record. The transcript has 3 exons. NCBI's taxonomy places the organism in Eukaryota, Metazoa, Chordata, Amphibia, Anura, Myobatrachidae.